UUCCUAUGCAUAUACUUCUUUGAAAUGUGGUUCUAAAGAGGCAUAAGGCAUGGGAAAA
Molecule: microRNA precursor, 58 nt
Filed under: Ornithorhynchus anatinus (platypus)
Lineage: Eukaryota; Metazoa; Chordata; Mammalia; Monotremata; Ornithorhynchidae
Description: Oan-Mir-202_pre stem-loop
Rfam family: mir-202 microRNA precursor family
Source: RNAcentral